GCCUUAGUAGUGUAAUGGUAGCACAUUCGACCCGUAUUCGAGUGGGCCAAGUUCGCGUCCUGGCAAGGACA
This 71-nucleotide transfer RNA is filed under the name Stegodyphus mimosarum. It matches the Rfam family "tRNA". From Rfam's summary of the family: Transfer RNA (tRNA) molecules are approximately 80 nucleotides in length. Their secondary structure includes four short double-helical elements and three loops (D, anti-codon, and T loops). Further hydrogen bonds mediate the characteristic L-shaped molecular structure. tRNAs have two regions of fundamental functional importance: the anti-codon, which is responsible for specific mRNA codon recognition, and the 3' end, to which the tRNAs corresponding amino acid is attached (by aminoacyl-tRNA synthetases). tRNAs cope with the degeneracy of the genetic code in two manners: having more than one tRNA (with a specific anti-codon) for a particular amino acid; and 'wobble' base-pairing, i.e. permitting non-standard base-pairing at the 3rd anti-codon position. Lineage: Eukaryota; Metazoa; Arthropoda; Arachnida; Araneae; Eresidae. The record is from Rfam by way of RNAcentral.